GGAUUAUGCUACUGCUAGCAUGAAAUGCUCUAGGCUUUCUAGGGCUCUCAAUCCCUUCUACCAUGCCAAUAAUUCCCCUUAGCAUAACUUUUCAACUAGUUGAGGAUAACCCCUAGUCAUUACAGCAGGAGAUAUUGAUAUCGAAUAGCUAUCUAUCUACGUAAGUUCAUUAGAAAGAAAGGAGGAGAGGAAGUUCGGGAUUAUUAAAAGACCUGGACUGGCUUAGACUUAUUAUAGGGUUAAUACGACCUAUGAUGGGCAAGCAAGCGAGCUAACUAUGCAUCGGAAAGCAAGCCUUCGACGUCACUAUAGGCCAAGCCCUAUACCUCUACCACUGCCUUGAGCCCUUGAUCAAUUAGUGGGGCAUUCUAAACCUACGUCAACAAUCAAUGGGGCACCUCUCCAUCUUAUGCAUCUGCUGGUACUGCGCCUGAGCUAGUGUGACUGGAUCCCUCAAUCCCUCUUACAAAGCAGAAAUUCCUUCUUUUUCUUACUUUCAAACGAUUG
RNAcentral lists this long non-coding RNA (507 nucleotides) under Nicotiana benthamiana. RNAcentral describes it as "long non-coding RNA (NBEN_LNC016133)". The record is from RNAcentral. Lineage: Eukaryota; Viridiplantae; Streptophyta; Magnoliopsida; Solanales; Solanaceae.